GCCCUAGUAACGGCGAGUGAAGCGGCAACAGCUCAAAUUUGAAAUCUGGCUUCGGCCCGAGUUGUAAUUUGUAGAGGAAGCUUUUGGCGCGGCACCUUCUGAGUCCCCUGGAACGGGGCGCCAGAGAGGGUGAGAGCCCCGUAUAGUUGGAUGCCUAGCCUCUGUAAAGCUCCUUCGACGAGUCGAGUAGUUUGGGAAUGCUGCUCAAAAUGGGAGGUAAAUUUCUUCUAAAGCUAAAUACCGGCCAGAGACCGAUAGCGCACAAGUAGAGUGAUCGAAAGAUGAAAAGCACUUUGAAAAGAGGGUUAAAUAGUACGUGAAAUUGUUGAAAGGGAAGCGCUUGUGACCAGACUUGCGCCGGGCUGAUCAUCCGGUGUUCUCACCGGUGCACUCUGCCCGGCUCAGGCCAGCAUCGGUUCUCGCGGGGGGAUAAAGGUCCCGGGAAUGUAGCUCCUCCGGGAGUGUUAUAGCCCGGGGCGCAAUGCCCUCGCGGGGACCGAGGUUCGCGCUCUGCAAGGAUGCUGGCGUAAUGGUCAUCAGCGACC
RNAcentral lists this ribosomal RNA (545 nucleotides) under Allocanariomyces tritici. Its description in RNAcentral is "partial large subunit ribosomal RNA". It matches the Rfam family "Eukaryotic large subunit ribosomal RNA", at positions 77 to 649 of the family's 3401-position model. The record is from RNAcentral. Lineage: Eukaryota; Fungi; Ascomycota; Sordariomycetes; Sordariales; Chaetomiaceae.